UGCCGUUGUGUGCAUCUUGUUUUCCUCGUUAGGGAAGGGACUCGUUCGUGUUGGUUUUGCUUUUCAGUCAGCAGGGGUGCAGGUAUUCAGGGCUCAGCCUAAGGAAGAUUCCAAAGGGAGUUUUAGGGAUGGCUGCGGCUGGCUUUCCCAGAGUCGGUCUCAUUCAUUUUGGUUUUGUACCCUAAACAAUUUGACACUGUUUUUUUCCCCAGGAUUUAGCAAGACAAUCCCAAAGUAAAGUUACCUUGCUGUUAUUCCUGGGAAUGUUUUUACUCUGUUGCCUGGAAAGGCUGACCUGGAACAGAGACUAGACAGAGUAAAAGGAAUAAAAGAGGUAUUUAUUGAAAGGAUACACUUUGGGGCAGUGCGACAUCCCGGCCAGGACUACACCCAAGUCAAAUUCCACGUGGAUGUCAGUAACAAGUCUUUACACUUUUAUAAGUUUUGGUUCAUCUCCAUAUUGGGGUUUAUUAUCCAACCACAGCCUCAGGCUAUGAACUCUCAGCCCCCUGGCUUGCUCCCUUUCCCUCACCGUUGCUUUUGCUUUUUGGGUAUCACUUGUCCUUGAUUGUCUAGCUAGAAAGGAAUUAUUUUGUCUAACUACCCUGUAAAGAGAAUUUACUAACACCUAAUAUGAAGUUUCACAGUUACACACUAAGCAGCAGAGAUUCUGAAAAAUAUAAAAGCUAAAACUUUUAAAGCUCCAGUGUGUGAGCUCCAAGUCCCUCCGUACCUGAGGACUCAAAGGUGUUCGGGUGUGACAGCAGAUGGGAAACCUGUGAUGUGCAAAUCACCCAGUUGGAAGCGGUGCUGGAGCUUGGAGUGUGAGGGGCUGGGACCAGGGAAAAAGGCAUCAAGUGAGUGGUGUGCCCUGGGGACAGGCGGAGCCUGUCCUUACCCGUCUGCCAGGAGCAUCUGAAGGAAAGCAAACACAGAGAUUGAGUGGUGGAGUGAGGAGAAAGUUGCUGGCUUGCGUGAUUUCUGACUGAGCUGCCACAGAAACGGGCAUCUGUGUGUGCACAUGCUUCCUGGCAAAUCCAGAUGUGACGUGGAAAUCCUAGGGGAGGAUUUCCAGCCUUGACCACGCGUGACACAGGCUUGUGAAAAUGGAAAUGGCCUUGGCAGAAGAGCAGCUGUGAAGUGAAGCAGAACUGCAAUACAGGUGCUGCCCAGGACGGACAUCUGUGGCCUCAGACAGCGAUUGCCUGGGAGGAAGGGAAGGCUUUGCACAGCUCACCUGCACAGCUCAGGACUGGAGAAAUGGUUCCACUCCUCCCAUCUUUGCCAAAAGCUGUGCUGUUUGAGGAGCCAGAGCCAAGGUGCCUUCAGCACCAGGGCUCUGCACUGGGGGGCUCCCGGUCCUGCCCGCGCAGGGUUCCCCUUUUCCUCCCCGCUGGGAUGAAGUGUCUAUGGAAUCUGGGAUCUGGGUGAAACUGCAGCUCUGCUGGUAUCCAGGGACGUGAGGUUCCGGGGGACUGCGUUUCCCUGUGGCUUUCCAGGUUGGCAGGAGCCGGAGGAAAUGGGGUGCCAGAGCCGUGCCCCAUCAGGCCGUGUUUGCCUCUGAGGAACAGAGAGUCCGGGCUGAGGUGAGAUUGCCAGGAGUGCUUGGAUGGAUGAGCUGUGCGGGGAACGGGGAGCUCGGAAUCGCAGCUGCUGCUGGAUCCAUUGCCUUAGGUCUGCUCCGUCUGUGUCUGUGCCAAGUGGGAUUUGUGCUGGGGAGAGAGGGGCUGUGGGGAGCCAAAGGCAGAAUAAAUCCUCUCUGGGGAUGGGCAGCGAAGGACUGAGUAGCAGGGAAGGAGAGGAUUUCUAAAGGAUACGACUGUUUCUGCCAAGAGCGGGGUGGAGCAGCGAUGGGGGUGGUUGGGUUUGGCCUGAGCUCUGUUAUUCUUGGUGCCAUUUUAAAAUUCUGUCGUGUGAUUUACUGUCUGGGAGCUUUCGAACGAGAGCUGACGGAAAUGUAGGUUAAGCCUUGGAAGUUGGGUCCAUUGACUGCAGCAGCUCGCCGAGGCUGGAGGCCUGGGGUGAUGGCUGCUCCCAGGAAAGGUUACUUAUUUAUUGAUACUGUGUCACAUUUCCCUCAGCGGCUGCCAGCCCGGAAUGGCUGUGAGUUUGUGCUCUUCUCAGUGGGGGAUUGGAGAAGGUUUUGGCUGUAAUUAGAAGUGGGAGAAAAAUCCUGCUAAGUAAGUGUCUCACCUCUGUCCCCCCUAAGUUAUCCCAGUUUUUCCCAGCUUGGAGCUGCGCAGAAGUCAGGCAGGGGAAAUUACAUCAGGGAUACAGCUGUCAGUUCCAAGGCAGAGAGAGAAGAUGUAGCAGCCAAGGGCAGGGGAGGGGAAAGGUUUCAGAAAGCAUUUCUGUGGUGUAAUGAAUGCCAAUUUCUGCUUGCCCAGGGAGAAGAGGACGAACUCCCAGCCAUUCAGGCCUGACAGUCCCCUGCAGCGAGAGCUCAGCACGCAUCCCCAGAGGCAAGUCCAGCAGGAGAAAGAAGAGGAAGAGCAGCCAGCCGGUGAGGAAGGGAGGAGAGGCUCCGUGCCGGAUGAGGCCCACGGGAGAGAGUGAGCAGAGGAGCAGCCUGGGGCUGGAGAGGGGCAGGAGAAAGGCAAAGGGACCUCGCUGGGGUCACAGAAUGGACACUUGGAUGAGCAGUGCAGGUGAGGAGUGGAUCGGAGUUCACAUGCAGGGAAAGAGGGAGGGGAUCUUUUGGAGGGAGGAGCUGAGGCGAUAAUGAGUUCGCUGAGCUCGGCACAUGUUGUGUUUGCACAAAGCGGGAGCAGAGGUGAGGGGCGAUCCAGAGGCAGCCCUGCUUGACCUCUGAAUUCCAGGAGGGUCUGUCAGCACAGCGAGCUAGCAACUGAUGGGGAUAAAUAAAGCAGCCGUGCCUUUCUGGGCCUCUGCAUGAUAUUCACCCAGAAGCUGCCUUUCAAGGACUGAAGUGGAACAAAAGGUAUAAAAGAAAUGUCAUUCCCAGAGGGAAAAUAGUUGCAUUUCUCUUGUGUCUGCUUUUUUUUUUUUUUUUUACAGUUACCUCAAAAUUCCCGGAUCCAGAACAGCUACUUUGAGUUUUGGUAGAGAUUCCAAAGCAGGAUACAGUAGGUUUCAAAGUACACCUUGUAAAAUCAAUCAUUUGCCUGCAGCAUGCAGCAUGUAGGUGUGAUGUCUGUAACUGGUCUUCAUUGAUGCAGAGGUACUUGGAAAAAAAUGUUUAAUUUUUCAUCUCUCCCCAGCUUCAUUCUUCCUAAGUGUACUUUUUAUUCAGCAGGACUCGGAUGAGAGAGAGAGAGAGAGAGAGGAACUCUCUUCACAUCAGCAUCAAAGGAAAAAGUGUUCAGCUACUUACAGUCCUAGUGACUGUUCUGUGUAAAAGCAGGAUUGUUUUUCCAUCAGACCUUGCGUGCCGUACCAGUCUGUGCGUUAACAGGUGCCUAAGAAAGGUCAAAAGGGAAUAACUCCAUGUCGUUCACUCGUGUGAAUCUUGGUGGGGAUCAGAGCCGAGAGUGAACUGCAGUGAGGGGGGGGUUACUGAAGCCCCAGUUUGUUUCCAGUGAGCGUGGUGUUGUGGUGUUCAAAGUUACAGGUGCCUGCUGGCCUGGAGCUGGAUACUUCUGCCUCUGCUUUCUUUGGGGGUUGAUGAUUCCUUAUGUUUAUGUUGGUGUGCCAGACAAAUUGUUAAAGGUAUUUCCAUCAGACCUGGUUUGAAUGUGUUACCCCUUCAUUUAAUUAAAAGAAAAAAAGCCCCGCUCCAUCACUGCUGCUGUGAUGUGUGACAAAAGCCCAUCUUCCCUCCACUGGGAAUAGGUGAGAGAUGGAACUAAACCCCGAAGGAUUUUCUGCUCACUGAUGGCACGUGAGUUUUCUUGGGAAUUCUCUGCCAAAUGUGGUGAAUUGUUUUUGAAUGUGGCCAUGAGGGGAGUUGAACGUGCCCGUCCAGAUCUGCAAACAUGCAGUGCCAGAAGGAGAAGCCUUGAAAUGUAAACCGGGGAUUUAUUCACCUGACUCACAGGUGUGUGUGCUGUGCCCAGGUCCCCUGUCCAAAUCCUGGGCGGGGAGAAGCCAGGACUGCACAUUCCUCAUGAUAUGAAUUCAGGAUGUUUUUU
Molecule: long non-coding RNA, 4091 nt
Organism: Cinclus cinclus
Lineage: Eukaryota; Metazoa; Chordata; Aves; Passeriformes; Cinclidae
Exons: 6
Source: RefSeq, a predicted model, not a curated record